UUUAAUGUGGCAGAAAUAGUGCAAAGGACUUAAAAUCCUUUUAUAAAGAUUUUAAAUAUCUUUUAUUAAAA
This 71-nucleotide transfer RNA is filed under the name Myrmicaria sp. O2. RNAcentral describes it as "tRNA-Leu". It matches the Rfam family "tRNA". From Rfam's summary of the family: Transfer RNA (tRNA) molecules are approximately 80 nucleotides in length. RNAcentral also lists the same sequence under 1 other name. Lineage: Eukaryota; Metazoa; Arthropoda; Insecta; Hymenoptera; Formicidae. The record is from RNAcentral.